GAGUAAUGUAUGGGGAUCUGCCCGAUAGAGGGGGAUAACUACUGGAAACGGUGGCUAAUACCGCAUAAUGUCUACGGACCAAAGCAGGGGCUCUUCGGACCUUGCACUAUCGGAUGAACCCAUAUGGGAUUAGCUAGUAGGUGGGGUAAAGGCUCACCUAGGCGACGAUCUCUAGCUGGUCUGAGAGGAUGAUCAGCCACACUGGGACUGAGACACGGCCCAGACUCCUACGGGAGGCAGCAUG
This 244-nucleotide ribosomal RNA is filed under the name uncultured bacterium. Its description in RNAcentral is "partial 16S ribosomal RNA". It matches the Rfam family "Bacterial small subunit ribosomal RNA", at positions 108 to 353 of the family's 1533-position model. The record is from RNAcentral.